This 402-nucleotide unclassified non-coding RNA is filed under the name soil metagenome. Its description in RNAcentral is "partial contains 5.8S ribosomal RNA, internal transcribed spacer 2, and large subunit ribosomal RNA". The stretch from base 3 to 119 matches the Rfam family "5.8S ribosomal RNA", at positions 38 to 154 of the family's 154-position model. The record is from RNAcentral.
GAGAAGAACGUAGCGAAAUGCGAUAAGUAAUGUGAAUUGCAGAAUUCAGUGAAUCAUCGAAUCUUUGAACGCACCUUGCGCCCUUUGGACUUCUGAAGGGCAUGCCUGUUUGAGUAUCAUGAACACCUCAACUCCUUAUGGUCUUCCAUGAUGAGCUUGGACUUUGGGGGUUUUGCUGGCCUACAGUCAGCUCCUCUAAAAUAAAUCAGCUUACCGGUGUUUGGUGGGUAUCAUGGGUGUGAUAACUAUCUCCGCUCGUGGUUUUCCACCAGGUAACCUUCAGCAGUGGAGGUUCACUGGAGCUCAUAGAUGUCUCUCCUCAGCGAGGACAGCCCUUUGAAUGUUUGAUCUCAAAUCAGGUAGGACUACCCGCUGAACUUAAGCAUAUCAAUAAGCGGAGGA